AUUGAACGCUGGCGGUAGGCCUAACACAUGCAAGUCGAACGCGAAAGUCCUUCGGGAUGAGUAGAGUGGCGGACGGGUGAGUAACGCGUAGGAAUCUAUCCUGUAGUGGGGGAGUAACGUUUCGAAAGGAACGCUAAUACCGCAUACGCCCCAAGGGGGAAAGCGGGGGAGUCUUCGGACCUCGUGCUAUAGGAGGAGCCUGCGUCGGAUUAGCUAGUUGGUGAGGUAAAGGCUCACCAAGGCGACGAUCCGUAGCUGGUCUGAGAGGAUGAUCAGCCACACCGGAACUGAGACACGGUCCGGACUCCUACGGGAGGCAGCAGUGGGGAAUAUUGCGCAAUGGGCGAAAGCCUGACGCAGCCAUACCGCGUGUGUGAAGAAGGCC
Molecule: ribosomal RNA, 385 nt
Filed under: uncultured bacterium
Lineage: Bacteria
Description: bacterial SSU rRNA
Rfam family: Bacterial small subunit ribosomal RNA
Source: RNAcentral